GAUGAACGCUGGCGGCGUGCCUAAUACAUGCAAGUCGAGCGAACAGAUAAGGAGCUUGCUCCUUUGACGUUAGCGGCGGACGGGUGAGUAACACGUGGGUAACCUACCUAUAAGACUGGGAUAACUUCGGGAAACCGGAGCUAAUACCGGAUAACAUUGGAACCGCAUGGUUCUAAAGUGAAAGAUGGUUUUGCUAUCACUUAUAGAUGGACCCGCGCCGUAUUAGCUAGUUGGUAAGGUAACGGCUUACCAAGGCGACGAUACGUAGCCGACCUGAGAGGGUGAUCGGCCACACUGGAACUGAGACACGGUCCAGACUCCUACGGGAGGCAGCAGUAGGGAAUCUUCCGCAAUGGGCGAAAGCCUGACGGAGCAACGCCGCGUGAGUGAUGAAGGGUUUCGGCUCGUAAAACUCUGUUAUUAGGGAAGAACAAAUGUGUAAGUAACUGUGCACGUCUUGACGGUACCUAAUCAGAAAGCCACGGCUAACUACGUG
RNAcentral lists this ribosomal RNA (496 nucleotides) under uncultured bacterium. RNAcentral describes it as "partial 16S ribosomal RNA". It matches the Rfam family "Bacterial small subunit ribosomal RNA", at positions 28 to 507 of the family's 1533-position model. The record is from RNAcentral.